This is a long non-coding RNA of Bos taurus (domestic cattle), 775 nucleotides long. The record is from Ensembl. Lineage: Eukaryota; Metazoa; Chordata; Mammalia; Artiodactyla; Bovidae.
CGGCAGGCCCCAGUUCCUCCCUUGAUUAAAAUAGACCAAGGGGCCACCCACGCCUCCUCCCAAGAUGACUGCCAAGCCCUUUCCUCUGAAUUCCUCAUGGAGUGCCUGGCUUUCUUUUCAAGAGGAACAGCCCUUCUGCCUCUGAAGUGGGGCCCAGAGACCCAGGAUGCUGUGCAGAUCAGUUGGAGAGAGGCUUGAACUAGCAGACUUCCACCUCCCCAACCCCAGGAGCUGUCAACCUCAUCGGUGGCCCAGCCGUCUCAGAGAGGAGGGAGAUUAGCCAAGGUUAUGAGGCCCUUGUGUUUUCACAGCCGCAGGGAGGGCCCUCCAGGGGCAGAGAUGGGCAUAGGGAACAACGGCUCUGGCUCCAGUCUGGGGAGAGAAAGGAGAGAGAAGAAGGGGAGAGACUGCAGGAGGCAGAGUCAGAUCCAGGUGAGAGGGGAAAAGGGGUGCAGGUAGCUCGGAGAAGGUGUCACCUGUCUGCAUUGGCCCCCUGCCACCCAAAAGGGCUGUUUGCAAAGCCCAGGAAUACUGUUCCUUGCAUGGGAAGCCUAUGAGAUGAGUCAGGUCACCCUGAUCACUGAACAGGGAGUCUCCUGCCUGCUUCACCUCUGUCUGGGUGUGUGAGGGUAGGCAAGUCACUAGCCCUCCCUGAGCUUUGGUUGCUUCAUCAGGACAGUGAGGGGAUUGAAUGAACUCUAAGGCCCCUUCCUGCUCUAACAGGCAACAGACUUUGAUGUGAUCAUUUCAGAAAUAAAGAAAUGGAAAAUCUGUA